RNAcentral lists this ribosomal RNA (915 nucleotides) under uncultured archaeon. RNAcentral describes it as "bacterial SSU rRNA". It matches the Rfam family "Archaeal small subunit ribosomal RNA", at positions 1 to 925 of the family's 1478-position model. The record is from RNAcentral.
UUUUCCGGUUGAUCCUGCCGGACCCGACUGCUAUCGGAUUGAGACUAAGCCAUGCGAGUCAACCCGCAAGGGUGGCGGACGGCUCAGUAACACGUAGUCAACCUGCCCUGAGGACGUGGAUAUCCACGGGAAACUGUGGUUAAACCGCGAUAGGUCAUCGCUUCUGGAACGGGCGAUGGCUCAAAUCUACAUGGCCUCAGGAUGGGACUGCGGCCGAUCAGGUUGUUGGCGGGGUAAUGGCCCACCAAGCCUAUAACCGGUACGGGCUCUGAGAGGAGGAGCCCGGAGAUGGGCACUGAGACAAGGGCCCAGGUCCUAUGGGGCGCAGCAGGCGCGAAACCUUCGCAAUAGGCGAAAGCCUGACGAGGUUAAUCCGAGUGGUUCCUGCUAAAGGAACCUUUUGCCAGCUGUAAAAAGGCUGGUGAAUAAGGGGUGGGCAAGCCUGGUGUCAGCCGCCGCGGUAAUACCAGCACCCCGAGUGGUCGGGAUGAUUAUUGGGCCUAAAGCAUCCGUAGCCGGUUCUGCAAGUCUCCCGUUAAAUCCACCUGCUCAACAGUUGGGCUGCGGGAGAUACUGUAGGACUAGGAGGCGGGAGAGGCGAGGGGUAUUCCUUGGGUAGGGGUAAAAUCCUUUGAUCCAUGGAGGACCACCAGUGGCGAAGGCGCCUCGCCAGAACGCGCUCGACGGUGAGGGAUGAAAGCUGGGGGAGCAAACCGGAUUAGAUACCCGGGUAGUCCCAGCUGUAAACGAUGCAGGCUCGGUGAUGGACUGGCCUCGAGCCAGUCCAGUGCCGCAGGGAAGCCGUUAAGCCUGCCGCCUGGGGAGUACGGUCGCAAGACUGAAACUUAAAGGAAUUGGCGGGGGAGCACCACAAGGGGUGAAGCCUGCGGUUCAAUUGGAUUCAACGCCGGGAAU